This 7524-nucleotide long non-coding RNA is filed under the name Octopus vulgaris (common octopus). Lineage: Eukaryota; Metazoa; Mollusca; Cephalopoda; Octopoda; Octopodidae. The record is from RNAcentral.
AUCAUGGCUAAAUGGAUCUUGUUCUGCUGUUUGUUUGUAACAUUUGUCUGUAAGUUUUAUUUAUAUUUUAUUUAAUUUCUUUCCAUAACUUAUUUUUGUUAAGGCAAACUUACUCAGGUGCACAGGGGUCUGGAAUGGGGUCACUCACAUAAGGAGGAUUUUCUUUGUUUUGGUAGGGAUUUUCCCAAUUUUGUUUUCACCACAGCUUUAGAAAUGAUGCAUUUUAUGCAAGAAAAUUUUGGAAAAUUCAUGAUUUUCCACCACAAUCCCACUUAUAAAUUCUCUGUCUUCCCUUCUCUGGAUCUUUCCUUCUCAUUUGUUUCCAAUGAAGAGCUCCGCUCGAAACGUUAAACCCUCCUUCUUUCCUGAGCGUCCAAUAAUACUAUAUUUGUUCCAUGUCCUCGUGUUGUUGUGUUUUUUUUUGUGCUUUCAUGUUUGGAUUAACUUUAUAAAUUAUCUGCCUCAUUAACAACUUAUUUACAGAACCUCAGGUCCCAAAACAUUCCCUAUAUCCCACCCUGGUUAAUUAACAGUGAGUCCUCACACCCUUCCCCACCCCAUACAACACUAAUCUUGGUACUGUGUAUGAGAAUCACCCACUAUCUUUCAAAACCACUAUCUCUCUAUCCGGUCAGUCGAAGUCGACUCUCGGUCACUCGAUGGAUCAGUGUCCUCCAGUCAGUUCUAUCCUGGGCCGCUUCUUUCAGACUGGCUAUGUCCAUUCCGGUAUCACUCCUGAUGGUGUCAAGCCAGUGGGUUCUUGGUCGGCCUCUUCCUCUCUUGCCACUGACCAUUCCGAGCAUGAUGUCCUUCUCCAGGGAUUUUCUCCGCAUCAUAUGACCAAAAUAUGUAUAUAUAUAUAUAUCCGCUCAGUCAAAGUCGACUCUCGGUCACUCGAUGGAUCAGUGUCCUCCAGUCAGUUCUAUCCUGGGCCGCUUUUUUCAGAUUGGCUAUGUUCAUUCCAGUAUCACUCUUGAUGGUGUCAAGCCAGUGGGUUCUUGGUCGGCCUCUUCCUCUCUUGCCACUGACCAUUCCAAGCAUGAUGUCCUUCUCCAGGGAUUUUCUCCGCAUAAUAUGACUGAAAUAUGCCAAUCUAUGCUUGGUGAUCCUAGCUUCUAGUGACAUUUUUGGCCUGAUCUGCUUAAGAACUUCUCCAUUGGUGAGCCUCGUUAUCUAUGGAAUCCGUAAAAGUCUUCUCCAACACCAAAGCUCGAAUGCAUUAAUUCUCUUCUGGUCAGCUUUCUUUAGUGUCCAGGUCUCACAUCCAUAUGUUGCUAUUGGGAAGACAAUUGCAUUCACCAAUCUGCAUUUGGUAGCGAGUCUGAUGUCUCUACUCUUCCAGGCCCUGCUCAUGCUGACCAUUGCCUCUCUGCCUAGUACUAUCCGCCGUCUUGUGGAGGCGCAAUGGCCCAGUGGUAAGGGCAGUGGACUCGCGGUCAUAGGAUCGCGGUUUCGAUUCCCAGACCGGGCGUUGUGAGUGUUUAUUGAGCGAAAACACCUAAAGCUCCACGAGGCUCUGGCAGGGAUGGUGGUGAUCCCUGCUGUACUCUUUCACCACAACUUUCUCUCACUCUUACUUCCUGUUUCUGUUGUACCUGUAUUUCAAAGGGCCGGCCUUGUCACUCUCUGUGUCACGCUGAAUAUCCCCAAGAACUACGUUAAGGGUACACGUGUCUGUGGAGUGCUCAGCCACUUACACGUUAAUUUCACGAGCAGGCUGUUCCGUUGAUUCGGAUCAACCGGAACCCUCGUCGUCGUAACCGACGGAGUGCUUCCAUCCAUCCACCGUCUUAUUUCUGGAGUGCAGUCACCGUCUCGAUUUAUUUUGGAGCCAAGGAAGACGAAAUGAUCAACCACUUCAAUCUCUUCAUUAUCGAUCUUGAUGCUGGUGUUUGUUGUGGCUGCUGUUGACAUGAUCUUCGUUUUCUUAACCACAACCCGUCAUUAUUUAAUAAAUUCUCAGAUGUUUUUACUUUAACAGCUUCGUUUCCCUCUGUGUCUGCUGUAGUGUUUCCUGGUUUAUCGAAAUACGUGGGAAUUUCAUUUAUGUUUCCAAUAUUUUCUAGGGAGAACCCAAACAUUUUACACUCCUUCAGAACAAAUUUUUUCAUCAAUGUCUUUUGGCAGUUUCUGAGCAAUAUGAGUUUUUUUUUGGCAAUCGCAGUCACUUAUCAAUACAUGUCAGCCUCAACAUCCAAAGCCCUCAUGUUCCACCGUUUUGUCCUGCACCUUUCAGGGUCCACCUCUUCCACAGAUUGCCUCCGCAGUUAAAGAUCAGCACUUCUUUACAUAGCAGUCCUUGUCCGUUCAUUUUUAGAAUGACAUUGUAAGACAGGUGCAAAAGGCUGACCCAUUACCAGUUUAAACACGAAACAGGUAGAAUCUUUGUGCUAGGUAUGGCUACUUUAACUCGUUAGCAAUCAGUUUAUUCCGUUUAAUGUAAUGCUCCUUUAGACUUGGUUUUUGAAUUAAUCAUUCGUUAUCUUGUAGUUUUGACAUUUUGCUGAUGUGAUUGUUUAUUUUUAGACUGACAUUGUAGGGUAGGUGUGAGGGGCUGGACCCAGCCACUUAGAACAUAAAACGGAUAUGGCUGGUUUAAUCCUUUAGCAAUCAAAUUACUGUGAAAUGUAAUGUUCAUUUAUUCACAUUGUUUUGAAUUAUUUCAUCUUAAAAUCAAAAAUUUUUGUUUUCAUCUUUUACAGAUUUGUCAAGUGCACAAAAUUAUAAUAUCACCCAAAGUGGUAAAUAUAUUCUUCUUUCUUGCCUUUGACCCUCCAACGUGGAAUAUAGGCUACUCAUAAUUGAAUUCUAUGUUGCAUAAUUUUUCGCCUCUGUACUUAUACUCUGCCAUGAAUGUCCCCCUUUCUCUAGUUCGUUUUUUGUUGAUCUACGCCACUAGUUCUUAGGCCUACCUUUCUUUCUAUAUCCAAGUUAAGCUAAGUUAAGGUAAGUUAAGUUAAUUUUUGGGCUCAAAAAGCAAAAAAGCAAGGCCAUUUAGGGGGACAUGGAGUUAUGUACAGGGUGGUGUUCAUGCAAAGAGUUCAGGCCAUUUGUGGUCAAGGGAGACUUUGAAUCGAGCGGUCGUUGGCAUCUUCACUAUCUCGUCCGGCAGCUUAUUCCACGGAUCCGCAACCCGGACGGAGAAAGCCCCUCUUCUUCGAUUGAGAUGAAAUUGUCGCAGAUAGAGUGCAUUCCACUCUGCGCUUUGCUCUACAAUGAUACAAAGAGUGGCGGUUUGAUCUCCACAUGAACGGUUUUUCCUAAAUCCAGCUUCUUCUUUACUGCUGUCCGCAUCAUCUCUAAAAGUAUCCUGUUAAAAUCUUUUCCGGGAGCUGAUAAUAGCCUAAUCCCUCUAUAAGAUGCUGAGUACUCAUCAGCCAGUUAUAGAGGCUUUCCAUUAAUAAAAAAGUUAUCAAAUCAAGUGGCAACAUUAUAGAGAAGGUAGAUAUAUAGACAAAGAUGUGGAUUUAAAUUUUAAGAACAUAUGAGGUACUAAGAUUUGGUUGUUCCACUACAUCAUACGUUCUUAAAAUUAAAAUCCACAUCUUUGUCUAUAUAUCUACCUUCUCUAUAAUGUUGCCACGUGAUAUGAAAAUUUUUGUAUUAACAGAAAACCUCUAUAAUUGGCUGAUGAGUGCUCAGUAUUUUAAAACUGUUGUAAUACUUACAAAAUUUAAUAAAAUGAUGUAGUACGAAACGAUCGUACCAAAUUACUGGAGUCAUUCUUGUUGCUUAUUUUCAUUAUAAUCACCCCACGGAUUUCUAUGGAUAACACCAUACAAAAUUCUGGUGCAUCUAAAUUAAGUACCAUAUUCAUUUGAAUCUAAAUUUUUGCUGAACUUAUAUAUAUAUAUAUUUGCCAACAUAAUGUGGCAGUCUUGGUUAGGACGAAUGAUACUGUAAAUUUAGUCUUAGGAAACAUCAUCUAUCUGCAUACCAAUGGUCUCUGGGUUAUUUCCCUUCAUCAGCACAGAAUAACUGCUCAGCUAGAGAUGACUCCACUAAACUCUAGUCCAAAAUAUAUACUUUUCAAAGUGACACACAGUCACUGAUCUAACAAAUAGAAAAUUAUUUCUAAAUCUCUGAACAAGACAUUGAGUAACAGUACUCUAGGGUAAAGAUUAUUCGCCAACAUAAUGUGGCGGUCCUGGUUAGGACGAUUGUUACUGUUCUUUAGCCCUAGUAAACAUCGUCUCCAGCUGGCUAUAUGACGCACUAGCUGCAUCCUUAUAUUUUCAAACAAGGGAGUUUAGCAUCCCAUAAGACAUAGAUAGCGUGUCAUAUACCCAGCUGGAGGCAGUGUUUCCUGGGGCUAAAUAACAGUAACAAUCAUCCUAGCUAGGACUGCCAUAUUAUGUUGGCAAGUAAUCUUUACUCUCGAUUAAUGUUACUGAAUGUUUCUUGUUCAGUGACUUAGAAAUAAUAAUUUUCUAUUUCUAUUUACAUAUAUAUAAAUAAUGGGCUUCUUUCAGUUUCCAUCUAUCAAAUACACUCACAAGGCUUUGAAACACACAAGUGUGUAUGUAUAUAUAUACACACACAUAUACAUACACAAACACACACACAUAUACAUACAAUGGGCUUCUUUCAAUUUCCAUCUACCAAAUCCACUCACAAGGCUGAUGCUGUAGUAGAAGACACUUUCCCAAGGUGCUGUGUAGUGGGACUGAACCCAGGACCAUAUGAUUUGGAAGCAAACUUCUUAACUGAUUUCGUUAUUUCAGGACCUGCUGUGCUCAAUAGAAACCUCACCCUUUCGAUAACAAUACCUAAUAUGAAACGACCGGUGGUUUGGAAGUGCCAGAAUUAUAAAUAUGAAUGUGACAGGACAUGCGCUGAUGGCCCUGACUAUAAAGUGACUCAUUUAAGAGAUACCUCCACGCUUUGGAUCAAAAAAGUAACUGAGAAAUGUUUGACUUGGAAAUUUGAAGAUGACAACCUUAAUAUUGGAAGAAUUGAUUUGGAGAUAAAGAGUAAGGAAAUGAUUUAUAGUAAUUUCUUUAUUAACCACAGAGGGCUAACUCAAAGCAAAACAUUCGGGAGGGUCCAGUGUGGGUUUUAGCAUGUAAAAAGUCAUACAAAGAAUAAAAGAAAUUCAAAGUAACAUCCCUGAUAGUUUGGGGACUUUGAAGGGCCACACGUAAAGAAAGCCCACAAAAUCCAUGGUCUCCCUGACCACCAGGGUGGAUGCCCUCUCCUGGUCUUUCCUCUCCAAUAUACAGGUACACUCUGAGAGAAGGCCCAUUCACUCAGGUAAUGCUCACCCCUCUCACCCACCUUUCAACAAACUGCUUGGAAGCCAGCACUUACCUCUCCACCUUGAUUUUCCUCUUCAAGUGAAACCUGACAAAGUUUAUUAGGGUUUUGACAAAAUGGCAAUUGCUGGUCUUCAGCCCUUUCAGACAUGUCCACUAUAUGAUCCCCUUUGCCAUGGGCCCCGAGCAGAUAAAUACUGGUUGCCCUUCUUGGUUGAAGGAAAGUAGAGGGGCCAUCUUCACAAUGGACUCAGGUGAUAGUUGUAUAUAAUAAGGGUUUCUUUUAUUUGCCACAAGGGCAAAGGAUGAGGGGGUCAAUACCAAGGUGUGUGUGUGUGGGGGGGUUAUAUUCUCUUUCUCUUUCUCUUUUUACUUGUUUCAGUCAUUUGACUGUGGCCAUGCUGGAGCACCGCCUUUUGUCGAGCAAAUCGACCCCAGGAUUUAUUCUUUGUAAGCCUAGUACUUAUUCUAUCGGUUCUCUUUUGCCAAACCGCUAAUUAACGUGGACGUAGACACACCAGCAUCGGUUAUCAAGCAGUACUGGGAGGACAAACAGACACACAAACACACAUAUAUAUAAUCAUAUAUACGAUGGGAUUCUUUCAGUUUCCGUCUACCAAAUCCACUCACAAGGCUUUAUAUAACCAAGCUCAUGUGUGCAACAUAGUGUUACUGGAAAUUUUGAUGGGGACUUUUCCUUUUAUAUCACUUUGAAAUGGAAUUUGUAUAACAGAAACGAAAGUAUUUUUUAAUAGUUUAGUAUGAAAAUGGUCAAACUUGGGAGAUAUUACUAUUUUUUAUUAAAAACAAAAGGUAUAUAUUUUAUUGUUUGUCAAUUGCAGAUCCGAAACCUGAACUUAGUGGAUCAAGACCCCUCAGAACACUCGAGAUUGUCGAAAUCAUUCUUGGCAUACUCAUCCUUGCUGCAAUCCUUGUCUGACUCUCUUUCUUCUGCUGCAAAUAUUUUAAGAAAUAAACAUUUGUAUAAGAACGCUACAAUUUGUGUUUUUUUAUCUAUAUUUAUCCUCUAAAAGGAAAAAAUAAUUCUAUUUAUCAGAUUAAGACUUUCACUGACUGCAUUGGCAUAGUUGGUUUUUUAAAUAAAUUAUAUCCAUAUUUUAGCAAUAUUUUUUCCAAAACUCUGCUCCGUCUUUUACUGGGAAUUUAAAAAUCUUAAAAGCUAUUAACUGUAUAUUUAUCAAUUUAGGACAACAACUAAUUUCAUUUAUAUAAUUAACAGACAAAACUACAUCAAUACACUAAACUUGAAAUCAAUAAAUUUGAAACCGAAGGAGCUGAAGGGAAAAACACAAACAGAAAAGGUCCACUUUUUAAAAUAUUCUUUCCAGAAAAAGUGAGCGGUAGCAGAUUCAGCAUGGAAAAUUACAUGAAUAUUCCAAAUUUGAAAAUUUUGACUGAAUCUUAGAAUGCAAAAGAAUGUGAUGUGUAUGUGUGUGUGUGGUGUCCCACCAACGUGUGCUAUUCCAAUAUAAUUGCAAUCUACACUUUCUUAAAGGUAUUUCUGAAAAUUUUCAUUUAAAAAUACCCAUUUUUCCAGAAGUUAUGAAGAAACAAAGUCGGUGGGGUACAUUUGCAUAUGUAUACCCAUUGCUUUAGCAUAAAUAUCUUCAAUUAUAAUCAAAGGGUCACUGCUUCCGUAGCCAACGAGAACAAAAUCCUUAAGCAUAGGAAAUGAAGUGUGACCCAUUUCUUCCACCUUUGACAUUUGCCACAGUGAAGUUCUUACCAUUGUUGGCGCCUCGCCUUACAGAAUGGUUCGGUGAUCCCUAUAAGGGUACUUGCUGCACCUCCUGUUUGUGUUUCUUUUGGUUUAGGAUUUGUAUUUUAAUGUGGUAUUGUAUUAUAUGUGUAUCAUGUAAAGACAUGUUAUAUAAGAUAAAAACAACAGAAAAAUAAGCCAACAAAAUCAAAAUAUUUACUUAUUAAAAAAAAUAAAAACUCUUUACAGAAUUUGCAAGAAAAAUACGAGAUGGUAUCAAAAAGUUCUCGGACAAGCUAUGUUUCAUAAAAAUUACUAAUUUACCAAAGUUUUAACAACAUCUCCUGUGAAAUACUCACCUUUCACAGCAAUACACUGGCCCCACAAUUCCUACUGCUUCAGGAAUCUGUCCUGGAAGUUGUUUUCUUUAAGCAAGUCAAGGACCUUUUGCGAUUUUAUUUCCUUUUCUGUAUAAUUGUUUAUUUAUUUUUAUAUCUGAAACGCUGAUUAUUUCUUGCAUAAAAUUAUAAAUUAUUGUCAAGUGUCCAA